RNAcentral lists this long non-coding RNA (1174 nucleotides) under Nicotiana benthamiana. Its description in RNAcentral is "long non-coding RNA (NBEN_LNC010514)". The record is from RNAcentral. Lineage: Eukaryota; Viridiplantae; Streptophyta; Magnoliopsida; Solanales; Solanaceae.
AUAUAUGUACGUCUUCAUUCUUUAUCGUAAUUAAUUUCCAACUCUUAAUUUCUCGUUUUCCGCUGUUUCGGCGUUGAUGCCAUUGGGGUAUUCGGAGUGCCAUUAGUAUUAAUCGAAAUAAUUAUACGCUUUAUGUGAGUCAAGGAAACAACAUCAGAGCCCAUUUUAGCCGUAUUUUAAAAUUAUAACACCACAAAAUAUUUAGAUAUGCACUAUUUUUUUUGUCAGUUUCACAUUGAGGUCCGACUAAAUUCGAAUUCGCUCUGAAAAAUUCCAUAAUAGAGGAUAAAGCGCUCCCUAACAAAGGCAAGGAUAUGCAUUAUUGUGUAACCAUGCAUGUUGUAAGUUCUUGUAAGUGGCGGGAAUCGCGAACCCUAUUAUAAGGGAAAAUUCCUAGACGACAACGAGAAGAGUCAUGUCUGAGUAAAAGCGGGAGAACUACUGGGGAGGGGUGGGGUGAUAUUAUCCAUCUAGAAUCUUUAAUUUCUGUAGUUGUAAAUAGUACUACUCACUCCUUUUAUAUAUAUAUAUAUAUAUAUAUAAAAAGGAAAAAUUACUAUGAAAUUAAUCAUAGGAAGUAGUAUUAUGUAAUUGUUGGAAACUGAUAGUAGUAGAAAGUGUAAGGAGAGUCACGAAAGUAGAAAUACGAAUAAAGGUGGUACACAGCUCAAAAGUUUGUAGGCACUUUAGGAAAAGACAAAGACUUUGUAUUCUAUCGGUCACUACAACUUUUCUCCAAGGAAUUAAAGGGGUCAUGAUUUUCUCGUUUUGUCGGCAGAUUUUUUUCAUACACAGGUUAUCUCCCAAACACUUAUCAAGAGUUAAGAUAGUUAUUAUGCCCACGUACACUAAUAUUAGAUUGGUUAUGUUGAUUGUUGAACUGCUUGCCCGACUUUAUUGGAUUGUUGUUGAAAUAAAUUUUGCAAGUGUUACGAUUUAGUCGGGAUGAAUCGGUAAAAACGGUACGGGCUAGUCAAUUUUCGAAUCGAUCAUUCAAAAAUAGCCAGCGUUUGUAAAGUUAUUGAAAAAUAAUUAUUAUUUUGCUGCAACACGGAAGUUCCAGCAUACUAUAAUAGAAAUCGGUGCACUUGUGUAUGAACUUCCAGCAUAUUAUGUUGUAACUCCAACACGCGAAAAGUUCCAGCAUAAUAUACUAGAGAUUGGAGCACCUGUG